UGCAGAAUUCCGUGAAUCAUCGAAUCUUUGAACGCACAUUGCGCCCCCUGGCAUUCCGGGGGGCAUGCCUGUCCGAGCGUCAUUU
RNAcentral lists this ribosomal RNA (85 nucleotides) under Talaromyces islandicus. RNAcentral's name for it is "partial 5.8S ribosomal RNA". It matches the Rfam family "5.8S ribosomal RNA", at positions 73 to 154 of the family's 154-position model. From Rfam's summary of the family: 5.8S ribosomal RNA (5.8S rRNA) is a component of the large subunit of the eukaryotic ribosome. It is transcribed by RNA polymerase I as part of the 45S precursor that also contains 18S and 28S rRNA. Functionally, it is thought that 5.8S rRNA may be involved in ribosome translocation. Lineage: Eukaryota; Fungi; Ascomycota; Eurotiomycetes; Eurotiales; Trichocomaceae. The record is from RNAcentral.